This 889-nucleotide ribosomal RNA is filed under the name Weissella confusa. RNAcentral describes it as "bacterial SSU rRNA". It matches the Rfam family "Bacterial small subunit ribosomal RNA", at positions 28 to 870 of the family's 1533-position model. The record is from RNAcentral. Lineage: Bacteria; Bacillati; Bacillota; Bacilli; Lactobacillales; Lactobacillaceae.
GAUGAACGCUGGCGGCGUGCCUAAUACAUGCAAGUCGAACGCUUUGUGGUUCAACUGAUUUGAAGAGCUUGCUCAGAUAUGACGAUGGACAUUGCAAAGAGUGGCGAACGGGUGAGUAACACGUGGGAAACCUACCUCUUAGCAGGGGAUAACAUUUGGAAACAGAUGCUAAUACCGUAUAACAAUGACAACCGCAUGGUUGUUAUUUAAAAGAUGGUUCUGCUAUCACUAAGAGAUGGUCCCGCGGUGCAUUAGCUAGUUGGUAAGGUAAUGGCUUACCAAGGCGAUGAUGCAUAGCCGAGUUGAGAGACUGAUCGGCCACAAUGGGACUGAGACACGGCCCAUACUCCUACGGGAGGCAGCAGUAGGGAAUCUUCCACAAUGGGCGAAAGCCUGAUGGAGCAACGCCGCGUGUGUGAUGAAGGGUUUCGGCUCGUAAAACACUGUUGUAAGAGAAGAAUGACAUUGAGAGUAACUGUUCAAUGUGUGACGGUAUCUUACCAGAAAGGAACGGCUAAAUACGUGCCAGCAGCCGCGGUAAUACGUAUGUUCCAAGCGUUAUCCGGAUUUAUUGGGCGUAAAGCGAGCGCAGACGGUUAUUUAAGUCUGAAGUGAAAGCCCUCAGCUCAACUGAGGAAUUGCUUUGGAAACUGGAUGACUUGAGUGCAGUAGAGGAAAGUGGAACUCCAUGUGUAGCGGUGAAAUGCGUAGAUAUAUGGAAGAACACCAGUGGCGAAGGCGGCUUUCUGGACUGUAACUGACGUUGAGGCUCGAAAGUGUGGGUAGCAAACAGGAUUAGAUACCCUGGUAGUCCACACCGUAAACGAUGAGUGCUAGGUGUUUGAGGGUUUCCGCCCUUAAGUGCCGCAGCUAACGCAUUAAGCACUCC